CUGGCUUCUCCUGGUGCAGGCUCCACGCUGUCAGUGAGGCUCAGCCACGAAGAUCUUCAGACAGAGGGAGGAGGGGAUCUGAGCUCCUGCUGGAACGCCAGGGCUCUUCCUCUGCCAAUAUUCUUUUAACUGUGGGAAAAAAGAGCAGUAACACUCAUGAGAACUAUCAGCCCCUACAGCCACAUCCUCCUUUACAGUUUUCACAAAAUACUCUUAUACACCAUCUGAUUUAACGCCACCACCAACUGUACAAGGUGUUGUCACAAUCCUUUAGUGACUGAGAGGAAUUGAUAUCAUGGAUAGAAAAAAAAA
This is a non-coding RNA of Macaca mulatta (Rhesus monkey), 312 nucleotides long. The record is from RefSeq and is a predicted model, not a curated record. Lineage: Eukaryota; Metazoa; Chordata; Mammalia; Primates; Cercopithecidae.